This 433-nucleotide ribosomal RNA is filed under the name uncultured bacterium. RNAcentral describes it as "partial 16S ribosomal RNA". It matches the Rfam family "Bacterial small subunit ribosomal RNA", at positions 29 to 507 of the family's 1533-position model. The record is from RNAcentral.
AACGAACGCUGGCGGCAUGCCUAACACAUGCAAGUCGAACGAGACCUUCUGGUCUAGUGGCGCACGGGUGCGUAACGCGUGGGAACCUGCCCUUAGGUUCGGAAUAACUCCCCGAAAGGGGUGCUAAUACCGGAUAAUGUCUUCGGACCAAAGAUUUAUCGCCUUUGGAUGGGCCCGCGUUGGAUUAGCUAGUUGGUAGGGUAAAAGCCUACCAAGGCGACGAUCCAUAGCUGGUCUGAGAGGAUGAUCAGCCACACUGGGACUGAGACACGGCCCAGACUCAUACGGGAGGCAGCAGUGGGGAAUAUUGGACAAUGGGCGAAAGCCUGAUCCAGCAAUGCCGCGUGAGUGAUGAAGGCAUUAGGGUUGUAAAGCUCUUUUACCAGGGAUGAUAAUGACAGUACCGGGAGAAUAAGCUCCGGCUAACUCCGUG